CUUCUGGCAUUAAGACUGCACCAGGGUCUCCGGAGCUGGGACACACCCAGGGCAGUGAGAGAUGUGUGAUGUGGAAAUGAAAUCCCCCCACAAUCCCAUCUCCAGAGAUGACCACACCUAGUCCCACCACGGAGAGAUGCUGCUCCAGCUUCCUCUUGUCCCGCUGAGAAUCUGGCAGCCUCCAGAAGAUGUAAUAGAGACCUGAGGACAUUUGGAAGAUGC
Molecule: long non-coding RNA, 222 nt
Organism: Choloepus didactylus (southern two-toed sloth)
Lineage: Eukaryota; Metazoa; Chordata; Mammalia; Pilosa; Megalonychidae
Exons: 3
Source: RefSeq, a predicted model, not a curated record